GUGGGGAAUAUUGCACAAUGGGGGGAACCCUGAUGCAGCGACGCCGCGUGGGUGAGGAAAUGCCUCGGCAUGUAAAGCCCUAUCGGCAGGGAAGAAAUUGACGGUACCUGACUAAGAAGCCCCGGCUAACUACGUGCCAGCAGCCGCGGUAAUACGUAGGGGGCAAGCGUUAUCCGGAUUCACUGGGCGUAAAGGGAGCGCAGGCGGCUCGGCAAGUCUGAUGUGAAAGCCCGGGGCCCAACCCCGGGACUGCAUUGGAAACUGUCGCGCUUGAGUGUCGGAGGGGCAGGCGGAAUUCCUAGUGUAGCGGUGAAAUGCGUAGAUAUUAGGAGGAACACCGGCGGCGAAGGCGGCCUGCUGGACGACGACUGACGCUGAGGCUCGAAAGCGUGGGGAGCAAACAGGA
Molecule: ribosomal RNA, 406 nt
Filed under: uncultured bacterium
Lineage: Bacteria
Description: bacterial SSU rRNA
Rfam family: Bacterial small subunit ribosomal RNA
Source: RNAcentral